This 511-nucleotide ribosomal RNA is filed under the name uncultured Pseudomonadota bacterium. RNAcentral's name for it is "bacterial SSU rRNA". It matches the Rfam family "Bacterial small subunit ribosomal RNA", at positions 355 to 857 of the family's 1533-position model. Lineage: Bacteria; Pseudomonadati; Pseudomonadota. The record is from RNAcentral.
UGGGGAAUCUUGCGCAAUGGGCGAAAGCCUGACGCAGCGACGCCGUGUGGGUGAUGAAGGCCUUCGGGUCGUAAAGCCCUGUCAGGGGGGACGAAAUCCCGACGACCUAAUAUGUCGUUGACUUGACGGUACCUCCAAAGGAAGCACCGGCUAACUCCGUGCCAGCAGCCGCGGUAAUACGGAGGGUGCGAGCGUUGUUCGGAAUCACUGGGCUAAAGCGCGUGUAGGCGGCCUUCUAAGUUUGAUGUGAAAGCCCGGGGCUCACCCCCGGAAGUGCAUUGGAUACUGGAAGGCUGGAGUACCGGAGAGGAGGGUGGAAUUCCUGGUGUAGCGGUGAAAUGCGUAGAUAUCAGGAGGAACACCUGUGGCGAAGGCGGCCCUCUGGACGGAUACUGACGCUGAGACGCGAAAGCGUGGGGAGCAAACAGGAUUAGAUACCCUGGUAGUCCACGCCGUAAACGAUGGGCACUAGGUGUUCGGGGUAUUGACCCCCUGAGUGCCGCAGCUAACG